Non-coding RNA from Spinacia oleracea (spinach), 71 nucleotides. Lineage: Eukaryota; Viridiplantae; Streptophyta; Magnoliopsida; Caryophyllales; Amaranthaceae. The record is from Rfam.
AGCCUAUUAGCUCAAUUGGUAGAGCUUUGUGCAAUUACACAAUGAUGUAGGUUCGAAUCCUACAUAGGCUA